GUUCACGCAUAAAUACACGAUCGUCUGAUAACUUCCCUAUGUGAGCCAAUCGGUAAAAGAAAAAACCGAAAAAUAGCAUAUUUCUGCCCCUUUUGAUUUUAUAGAAUCGGAUAUAUAUAUAAAAAAAAAAAAAGAAUUUUAUAGAAUCGGCGGAAGGGGCCGAAACGCAACUCUCAAAUCCUCCGUCCGACAAUACCUUCUUCUCAAAAGAUUAUCGUAUUUUCAGGUAAAUUAGUAUCCUCUUAGGUAAAUUUGCAUUUUGAUUGUUUGAUCCACGGAAAUUGAGUGUGGCUUUUUUUUUUUUUUUUUUGGUUAAAAAAAAUUGUUUUUAUGUUGUAAUUUCUUACCUGUAUCAAUUGGUAUUGCCUAUGUUUUCUAUUAGUCACGAUAAAUUAUUGUUAGUUGUGAUGAUUUGCUAUUAAAGGUUUAAACUUUCAUGUCUUUGAUUUGUUGAAGAUUGAUAACUCAGAGUUUGCAGUGGUAGUGCUCAAAUGAAACUAAUGAUUUGUUCUGAUUCAAAUUAUUCAUUAUAGAAAUUAGUGUUGUACACUCUACAUUCUUACAACCUAUUUGUUGUUUAAUUUGUUAAUGGAUUUUAGUUUCUCUGUGGACGACAAAGAUUUGGCAUCAAUCGGCUACAUUAAACUUAAGUCUUCACAGAACGUAAAAGAACCUCCAGAAUGAUGACGAUUUGAUGAUUUAUCUGCCAUUCUCCUCUUUCUUAUGCACGGUACAAUUGCAACAUCAUUUGAUGCAAUCCCAGUUAUUGCGUUUUCUUAAUUUCUUUUGCCCAACAUAAUUCGUAUUGAAAAAAUAAUUGCAAUAUGCCUAUGUUUUGCGUGUUUUUUUCCUUACCUUUUCACUCUACUAUUCUGAUUUAUGUACGAUUUACGAUUCAUUAAAUUAAUCAAUGGUAUGUUUAUUAUUGGUAGGAAAUCUAUACACAGUGCAUUAGGGAACCCCCAAAGUUCCAUAUUCUUAAUUCCUUUACAGCCAAAUUUGUGUAUGAUCAAACAACAGCGAUUAAGAACGGCUCCGGAAACAAUUUUCUAGACGGUUUAAUAAGAGGUUAUUGAUGACUGUAGAAAAUAGCAUGCCUUCUUAGCAAUUUAACUGAAAUUUUUGUUUCGCGCGUUCUAAAUAUUCAAAAAAAUUGCAGCACAAAUUUUGUACCAGCAAACAUAAGAGGUUAAAGAGAGCUCCUGAAGCAAUUUAGUGUGCAGGUAAACAGAGGUUAAGGAUGUCUAUAUAUCUCUGUUGCUUUUGGUGAAUUUCAUAUAUUGUAGAAAGAUUGAUGUUUUGGAAUUGUGUUUGUUUUCUUACAUAUAUUGUUGAAUUGUUUUAGUUCCAGUUAUAUGAUUCCCCAGUGCCUCAUAUACUACAAACUCUCAGACUGACCAAGAAACUCAAUUUUCCGAAUUAGGAAAAAUAUAUAUUUUUUCCUUCUCUUUAUUGUGAUAAUAAGCUACCUGAGGUUCUAUGUUUUUUCAUUUCCGUUCUAUACUUAUUAUCGAUUGGACAAUAUUACAAAUAAUUAAAGUAUUUGCACUUAUGUUUCCCGAAAUUGAAAAUUGAUACUGAUGAAUUCUCUUUAAACUACACUUUUGCAGAACUUGGUCAUUUUUCGUUAUUCUCGGACGAAGAUGAAUGACAAAGAGAAAAACACGAUAAGAAGAACCUUAACUUGCAUAAUUGAUAGGAGGUACUCACUAUUUCAAUUGAAUUUAUAUUACAACACUUAAUGUUUAAUGUUAUGGAGUUCAUUUAUUUUAUAGGUUUGUGGUUAUUUUUCAGACAAAAAUUGUGAUGAGAAGAUGUUUAAUCUGUCGAUUAAUACACAAAUUAGCUGAUUGAAUGAAGAAUGGACUAACAUCCUCAUCCAUCAGAAGAUUGAUAGUUACUCUUCCAAUAUGCAAGUCUGUAUAUAAUGUGUAUAAUAUUUUUCAAAUUUGUAUGUAGUACAGUAGCCGUAUAAUAUUUUGCAAGUUUGUAUAUAAUGUGUACCGUGUCUGUAUCUGCCUUUUUUUUCCCCUUUUUAAAUGUAUGUAUAACCAGUGUAAUGUAUCAAAGCAGUUUGUAUAUAAAAUGUUUCAUUUUUUCUCCUUGAUGAUACGACGUCUUAUUGUACACACGUUUUUUUAUUUGGUG
RNAcentral lists this long non-coding RNA (2148 nucleotides) under Erythranthe guttata (spotted monkey flower). RNAcentral's name for it is "long non-coding RNA (EGUT_LNC000849)". The record is from RNAcentral. Lineage: Eukaryota; Viridiplantae; Streptophyta; Magnoliopsida; Lamiales; Phrymaceae.